Molecule: ribosomal RNA, 453 nt
Filed under: uncultured bacterium
Lineage: Bacteria
Description: bacterial SSU rRNA
Rfam family: Bacterial small subunit ribosomal RNA
Source: RNAcentral
UACGGGAGGCAGCAGUGGGGAAUAUUGCACAAUGGGCGAAAGCCUGAUGCAGCUAUGCCGCGUGUAUGAAGAAGGCCUUAGGGUUGUAAAGUACUUUCAUCGGGGAGGAAAAAACAAAACUAAUAAUUUUAUUUCUUGACGUUACCCGAAAAAGAAGCACCGGCUAACUCCGUGCCAGCAGCCGCGGUAAUACGGAGGGUGCUAGCGUUAAUCAGAAUUACUGGGCGUAAAGAGCACGUAGGUGGUUUUUUUAAGUCAGAUGUGAAAUCCCUGGGCUUAACCUAGGAACUGCAUUUUGAAACUGAAAUACUAGAGUAUCGUAGAGGGAGGUAGAAUUCUAGGUGUAGCGGUGAAAUGCGUAGAUAUCUGGAGGAAUACCUGUGGCGAAAGCGGCCUCCUAAACGAAUACUGACACUGAGGUGCGAAAGCGUGGGGAGCAAACAGGGAUUAGAU